ACUAGAAUGAACGGUUAAAUGAGGGCCUCACUGUCUCUUACAUUUGACCAAUAAACCUGAUCUUUCAGUCCAAAAGCUGAAAUAAACACAUAAGACGAGAAGACCCUGUGGAGCUUCAUAAACUAAAUCCAUAUAACCUAAUGGACAUUCGUUUUUAGUUGGGGCGACUUUGGAGCACAACAAACCCUCCAACUACGGAACUCUUUCUAGAUAUACAAAUCAAAACCCUGCCCUAGACCCAGUAGUUUAAUUACACUAUCUGACCUAUGAACCAAGUUACCCCAGGGAUAACAGCGCUAUCCUCUUCUAGAGUCCCUAUCGACAAGAGGGUUUACGACCUCGAUGUUGGAUCAGGACACCCAUAUAGUGCAGCCGCUAUAAAAG
Molecule: ribosomal RNA, 384 nt
Filed under: Meroles ctenodactylus
Lineage: Eukaryota; Metazoa; Chordata; Lepidosauria; Squamata; Lacertidae
Description: partial 16S ribosomal RNA
Rfam family: Archaeal large subunit ribosomal RNA
Source: RNAcentral